AGUCUGCAGAGGGGCCCGGGCACGCUGGCUGGGCUCAGCCGCGGCACCAGCUGCCGCACCGCGAUUACGGGGCUGCCCGCCGGGAAACCGUGCAGGAUUGGUGGUGAUUUUCAUAGCCAAGAGCCACCACCCCUGACCAUGUAGAUGCCAGUUCCAGGGAGCAGCAUGGGCCCCACUGAAUGGAGACUCCUGGGUCUACAGCCCUGAGCCCCUCCGGCCCCUGGACCUUGUCCCACACUGGAGGACACCCCUUGGAGCUCACUACCACUGUCACCAGCCCGCCUCGGCCACCCCCACCCCCCGGGACCCGGAGUCGGCCGCCCGGUGCCACAGCUGACCAGUGAGGGUGUGCUGAGGACAGCCACAAGCAGCCAUCACCCGGCAGCCUCUUGUCCAGCGCUGACCCUUGGGCCCAGCCCGAGCAAGGACCGCAGCAAACAUGGGUGACAUGACCAACAGCGACUUUUACUCCAAAAACCAAAGAAAUGAGUCGAGCCAUGGGGGCGAGUUCGGGUGCACAAUGGAGGAGCUCCGCUCCCUCAUGGAGCUGCGGGGCACUGAGGCUGUGGUCAAGAUCAAGGAGACUUAUGGGGACACCGAAGCCAUCUGCCGGCGCCUCAAAACCUCACCUGUUGAAGGUUUGCCGGGCACCGCUCCAGACCUGGAAAAGAGAAAGCAAAUUUUUGGGCAAAACUUUAUACCUCCAAAGAAGCCAAAAACCUUCCUGCAGCUCGUGUGGGAGGCGCUGCAGGACGUGACGCUCAUCAUCCUGGAGAUCGCCGCCAUCAUCUCCCUGGGGCUGUCCUUCUACCACCCGCCCGGCGAGGGCAACGAAGGAUGCGCGACGGCCCAGGGUGGGGCAGAGGAUGAAGGAGAGGCAGAGGCAGGUUGGAUCGAGGGGGCCGCCAUUCUCCUCUCAGUUAUCUGUGUGGUCCUGGUCACGGCCUUCAAUGACUGGAGCAAAGAGAAACAGUUCCGGGGCCUGCAGAGCCGCAUCGAGCAGGAACAGAAAUUUACCGUGGUCCGGGCUGGCCAGGUGGUCCAGAUCCCUGUGGCUGAGAUCGUGGUUGGGGACAUAGCCCAGGUCAAAUAUGGUGACCUCCUCCCUGCCGACGGCCUCUUCAUCCAGGGCAAUGACCUCAAGAUUGAUGAAAGCUCCCUAACUGGAGAGUCUGACCAGGUGCGCAAGUCCGUGGACAAGGACCCCAUGCUGCUGUCAGGAACCCACGUGAUGGAGGGCUCAGGACGGAUGUUGGUGACUGCUGUGGGUGUGAACUCUCAGACUGGCAUCAUCUUUACCCUCCUGGGGGCUGGUGGUGAAGAGGAAGAGAAGAAAGACAAAAAAGGUAAGCCUAAUCCCCUUGCAGACCAGGAGAGGAGCUCUUAAGGCCACAUUUUUUUUUUUGUUUAUUUGUUCACUCAACAAAAUAGUUAUUGAGUGCCUUCUAUGUCCGCACCCUGUGCUGACAGCCACCUCCUGCAUCCUUAAGGCCUGCAUGGGCCAGGUAGGCUCUGUCUGUUCCAUCUCCAGGUCUUGUCCCAGUCUCUGUCUUGUCCAAUCAUGUCAUGGAGGCCCCUCCUUCCCCUCCGGGCCAGGCCAAGGAUGCUGACCAUGUUGUUGAGUCUUCAGCCUCAAGUGGUGGAAACAGCCAGCAUCAAUUGGUCCCAUCAUCACUCCAGUAUUGAGUAGAAAUCCCCACCCAUUGGAAGCAUAUUCCUUCCAAUAUUGUCAACUCCACU
RNAcentral lists this small RNA (1740 nucleotides) under Pan troglodytes (chimpanzee). RNAcentral describes it as "retained intron". Lineage: Eukaryota; Metazoa; Chordata; Mammalia; Primates; Hominidae. The record is from RNAcentral.